Molecule: unclassified non-coding RNA, 371 nt
Filed under: fungal sp.
Lineage: Eukaryota; Fungi
Description: partial internal transcribed spacer region
Rfam family: Eukaryotic small subunit ribosomal RNA (bases 1-46)
Source: RNAcentral
AAGUCGUAACAAGGUCUCCGUAGGUGAACCUGCGGAGGGAUCAUUAACACUUUUAAACAAAAACAACAAAAACAACCCGGUAACCAAAAAAAAAAACUACUUUAAGCGUUUUGUUUUGUUUUUCUUAUCGCUCUAUUUUCUCUUGAGGAAAUAAAAUGAUAAUAAAACAAAAACAAAAAACAACACACGCUUUGAAGUAUUUCUUUUUUACUCUUUUUUUAUUCACACCUAGUGUAAAUAACGAAAAGUAGUAUAAAGAAUAAAUCGUUAUACUAUUUAUGUAUCAUGUAUGUUUCUUCAUUCAACUUGAUUAAACAUUCAAACCUAAAUAAACUAUUGUACAACUCUUAACAAUGGAUAUCUAGGCUCUC